AAAUUAUGGUACGAAUGCCGCCCGCUUGGCGCUUGCCUUCCUAGUUCCCAAUCCUCGACGGACUUCCCACUUCCCAGUCCCGCUUCAGAUGUGAACCUCCUGAUCAAAUCUGGCAUCUCCUCUCCUCUCUCUUCGCUCCUCCAAUCAAACGAUCUCCUUUCCCUUCCUCUGCUCCCCUAACCUCAGAACUGAAGGCAACGACGCCUUCAGUUCUGGAGAACUGGAAGUCUCUGUCGAGCUCUCUCUUCAUACCUCAGCGGACCAUCGAUGCUGCCGCCGCCGAGCAAUGGAAAGUGUGAUCCGCAGGACCGCCUCUAACAUCCGUUUUAGAUAUCUCGUCUAAUUUUUCCAUUCCAAUGUCUGAAAGACCUUCCGAUAUGUUAGGGUUUCUACACUUUGUCGUCUUCUCUCAAAUCUAGGGUUUGUAUAGUUCUCUCUCACUCUGGAAUCUCCUCUCCUUCUCGCUCUCCAUUCUCUCUUCAACUGAACCAUCCUCAAAUCUUCUUACCUCAGAAGUGAAAGACGGCAAUACUUUCAGUUCUGGAGAACUUAAAGCUCCCUUCGAACACUCUUUACAUACUUCAGCGGACCAUCGCCACUCCCGCUUAGCAAUCAAAGUGUUUCUGCCGAGUCAAACUUCUGUGUAAGAAAUCUCGUUUCGGAUGUAUCCAGGGACCGCCAAUUUCACUCUCGAGCCAGAGCCUUGCAGAACGGAUCUAUUACGGGCUUUCACCGCCUGAAGACUCCCAAGGGCUUCGUUUCGUCUACGAAGACAUAGAAAGGUACUGGUAACUGAGAAACGAAAAAGAGUUCUAACACAUCUGUAUCUUAAAUCUUUAUUAAAUACCUUGAAAUUGAAGAUCUUCAACAUUAGACGACUUUUCGCCACUGAACUGAACUGAAUAUGCUUAUAGCAGCUUAAUCAGUAUCUUAUAGUGAAUUUCUUGUUAGCUACACGGAACUCAGGUUCUUAUAGAUGCUUUCUUUUGUUUCAAUUUAUUUGUUUUUCUUGAAUGUAAAAUUUAUUUAGAUCUGGUGGACUGGUUACAUCAAAUAAUCUGGCAAACUGAUUAUUUCAUAACUGGUAAAUUCAGAUGCGGUAGGUUCUCCCUUCACGAUUAUACACUCUUUGUUCUUUUGGUAUUUAUAUUUAAAUUGCACUAAUUAGAGAAGUGAUAAUUUUGGUCUUGUAGGUCUGUUCUACUGUGGAUUCUGUGGAAUUUUGUAAGCAUAUCAAUCCUCAAUCCUGAUAGGUUGACGUUGUUUUAGUUAGCUUAUAAGUUCCAUUUUCAAUGUUAUGUAUGUGUGUGUGGGCGCGUAUUAACAAUUACUAUUGCUGUUAUUAUCUUCUGAAUUAGUAUACUGCUUUAGUUUAUGUACAAGGGGAUUUGUCAAGGAGGCUAGCAAAGUGUCCAUGAAAAUGAAUAUCUGCUUGUUAAGUGACUACUUCUCUAAUAGUCUAAUGUCUUAGCUUUUUUGUGUACUCGUGACCUCAAUAAGUGCUUUUUUGUGUGUGACAAGAAAGUAUGAAACAUAUUUCUUAUUACUUAUGAUCGAUAUAAUGUGCAUUCCUAUGUAUCUACAUGGGUAAUUGGCACAUGAGAUUUUGUUGUCCUGGCAAUUGGCAGAAGACGUCUGUGAGGUGUUGAUGCCUGUGAUUUCUUUAUCAGGAUCAAAAUGUAAAGUUUAAUUACAUUGAACUAAGGCUGAACCGCUGAAUGGAUUUUAUUGAAGCGAGGCUUUACUGUAAUGUCACUUAAUCAUAAUUUUUCAGUGGGCAGUCAUUGCAUAACUAGUAGAGUCCUACAGUUCAAUAUCCUUGAAUCGUUGCACUUUUUCUCUAAGAAAAUGCUAAACCAAAUAACUAUAUGGGAUUGAGCAUCCUCCUUGAAACUUAUUUAAUUGCCUUUAGUUGAGAUGGCACAAGGUAACUAAUUACAUAUACUAAUUGGAUCGUUUAUUCCAUGCGCUGAUUUCUGUGAGUUGUAUAGCUGAGUUUGUAGCUGGAAGCAAGUUAUGAAAACGUUUUAAGCAAGAUUGAAUUCCUAGUUAAUUUCUCCCAAAGACUUUAGUUUUUUUUCCCUUCAUUUUCAGAUGAAUUACUCUUAGAAGUUUUGAUUUAUGUGAUUAUUAUGCAUGUUAAUAACAUACGUUUCUCGUAUUUUUUGUUUGAUUGAUGAUUCUCCAAAAAGUACCCAGAAAGAAGAACUCGUGACAAUUCAAGUUUCUCUGUUUUCCAGUUUUCUGGAAUCACUUUGGCAUGUUUUACUGCUGACGUGCAGUAUCAUUGUACAAUUCAGUUGGAGAAGUGCAAGAAUGCAAGAUAGUGAUUGUCUUUCUAAUAAAGCUCAUAUGUUUGCUCAUUCUCUGCACAUCAACUUUGAAAAGGAAAAUAAGCAUCCCUUUUUACCUUUUCUGCUGUUAGAGAAACUUGAUCAAGUGCGUCUGUUUAAUGUGGCCGUAUUUUGGCUGCACAGGAAGUAAGUAUAUAAUUCCGUUAAUUCUAAUUCAGUUAUCCAAUAUAUUUCUAACACACCUAAUCAGUAUACGCUGUUCAAUUUUUAAGUAGCUUAAUAUUCCAAAGCUAUAAAGCAUGGAUACGGCAGAGAUGUUGGAGUAUCUGUGUCCGAUAUGUAUCGGAUAUAGAUACGUUGAGAUACGUCAUAAAUACGUCUGAAAUACAUAUUUAAUAAAUCACAAUUUUUUUUUUAUUUUUUUAAAAUUGCGAUAUGUAUCCGGAUACGUGAUUGACACGUACCAGAUACAUAUCGGACAUGCUGCGACCUGUUUUGCCCUAGGGUUUAUAGGAUAUUUGUUUUUCGUAAGACUUUUAAAACAAUUAGACGACAAGCUUUCAUCGUCUUUUACACUCUUCUCGUCUUCGACAUCGACGAAAAACUACGACAGUCGACACAGAUCAUCGACAAAGACCAAACCACUACUGUCGAUAGAGAUCGACGACAAAGGCUGUUGUUCUUAACCAGGUUAUGGGUCUCUGUAGCUCUGGCUUCUGCCAAUCCAUAAUGGCUUUGUCGCUUGUUUCACUUUUCCAUUUUUCUUCUCUGCAUCGAGAGCAGAGACACAGAGAACCUUCAAAGCAAGCAAAAAACUGAAAAACAUUGAAAAAAGGGUUUUGCUAUGCCUUUGUUGCAGCUACUAUAUAACUAUGCCACCUGUUGUUAUAGGUGAUGAUUCACCAUUUUCUAAAAGCAUUAUUGUGUGUGUCUAACACGUGUACUCCUACAGGACUAUCUUAUUGAAAAGAAACAUAUUAUAUAUAUAUAUAUAUAUAUAUAAAAUUAGUUAACGUGUCCCCAACGUAUCCGUAUCCUACUUUUUUGAAAAUCACGUAUCCACGUAUCCAUAUCGUGUCGUAUCCGUUUCCCGUGUCCGUAUCUGUGCUACAUAGUUCCAAAGUAUAGACUUUGUGUGCAUUGGAAUUUGGUCAGGUUUGUAAGUAACUUUUCAACAUACUUUGUUCUUUAAUAUCUCACAUGUAAAAGGGAUGUUCGUUGAUCUCCUUGUUCUUUUUCAUUUUUAUAUUCUGAUUUAAUGUUGAUUUUUAUUCACCAACCAGGGCAAGUUAUUUUUUUCUUUGUUCUUUAUAUAUAUAUAUGCAUAUAAUAUUCAUAUUGUUUCUUUUUAGGAUGAAUGUUAACUUUUCUUUGUCCAGCUUACACUAGCUUCUUCGGUCCUCUAUCUCAAUGUAUUUUCGUCUACGAUUCUUAAUCAAUUGGUUUCAUUAAUUUUAGCGUUUCUUUCUAGCUCCCUUGGUCGAUGUUUUGGGAUUUGUUUCUGGUAAUCUAGCUUGUUUCUGUUAUUCAAGAUUAUUUGGUUUGAUUUAUUUUACAAUUGCGAAGGCAUUCUUAAUUCCUUCUCAAUCUUUACUCACCUGUUUUCCAUCAUUCUGAAUUAUAAACCCAAAAAUAUUUGAAAUUCCAGAAUUUAAGUAUUUUCUUUCCCAUCUUAGAAUGGAGGGAGAGAAAGAUGAGGGAACCAAUUAACACAGGAAAAUCUUUUGAUUUUCAAAUUUUUGUAUUUGUCCUAGCUAUCUUAAAGUCUUUUUAGUUCAAAGCUUGUCUCCAUGUUUUCCAUUCCAAAGUGACUCUUGAUAUGUACUCAUCCAUUAAGUCGAUGUCAUUCCUGGGAACAGAAUUACUUCAUCUUGAGUUCAUUUUGCCCAUGUUUUCCAGAAUUUAUAACCUCCCUCUCUCUUUUGAAGAAUUUUUAACCACUUUUAAGCCAUAUUACUUCUUGAGUUCAUGCUUUCUACGAGCGAAAGACUCUUGCCGAUCCAUAUGUCCUUUACUAGAUUAUAAGUUACAUUCCACAAAUGCAAUUUGUAACUAACUUAAUGUAAAAAAUGACUUGGAACUUCUAUACACACCUAUUGAAGGUCGUCUGUAAGGUGAUGUACAUUUCAGCCUAACGUCACUGCUGCAGGGAAAUUAUGAUGAUGAACUGAUUUCUGAAUUAUCAGACUAUCAGCAAUCUGACAAGGUAAGAUUAAUGCUUUUCCCUAUUUCUUGUGGAAGAUAACCAUGGAAUGAGGCUAUUUAAUUUAAUUUUUAUUAUUUUUUUGUAAAUUUACAAUUAUGAGCAGUUAAAAGGGCUGCUGAUACGAGUCUCGGUGUGUUUGCCCUUUAUUUUAAUUGCAUUCAUCGAAAGUAAAUGCACGUUCUAGUUGUAGUGCAUGUUAGAGAAGUAAUGAAUGUCCAAGAAUUGGCCGUCUUUAUGAGGUUGAAUUCUGUAACUAAACGAGUCGGUGACCAUAUACCAGACGUUAUCUGGAACUUUGCCCACAGCAUCAAUCUGUCUUUUUAGAUAACUAUUUUUAAAAGUUGCAUCUGUGUAGUGGCAUGGAUAUAAUGCAUGUACCAAUUAUAAUGUCUAAAUGUUGACUCAAGCUGUGAGUUGUUACGGUAAGUUCUGUUCUUUAGAUUCUGCAGGUUUGCACAUUUCAUAAUGUUUCCAUAAUAACGUCCUGUGUCAAGGUAACCUUUAUUUAUAUGGUCAACGAGCUUCGUAAUGGAAUAACAAACCUGGUUAUAUAGUA
Long non-coding RNA from Tripterygium wilfordii, 5056 nucleotides. RefSeq lists it as uncharacterized. The transcript is spliced from 2 exons. NCBI's taxonomy places the organism in Eukaryota, Viridiplantae, Streptophyta, Magnoliopsida, Celastrales, Celastraceae. The record is from RefSeq and is a predicted model, not a curated record.